CCUACGGGAGGCAGCAGUGGGGGAUAUUGCACAAUGGGGGAAACCCUGAUGCAGCGAUGCCGCGUGAAUGAAGACGGCCUUCGGGUUGUAAAGCUCUGUCGCAGGGGACGAUAAUGACGGUACCUUGCAAGAAAGCCCCGGCUAACUACGUGCCAGCAGCCGCGGUAAUACGUAGGGAGCAAGCGUUGUCCGGAAUUACUGGGUGUAAAGGGAGCGUAGGCGGGAGGGAAAGUCUGAUGUGAAAUCCAUGGGCUCAACCGCGUGGCUGCUUUGAAACUGGUUUUUCUGGAGUGAAGUAGAGGCAGGCGGAAUUCCUAGUGUAGCGGUGAAAUGCGUAGAUAUUAGGAGGAACACCAGUGGCGAAGGCGGCCUACUGGGCUUUUACUGACGCUGAGGCUCGAAAGCGUGGGUAGCAAACAGGAUUAGAUACCCUGGUAGUC
This 440-nucleotide ribosomal RNA is filed under the name uncultured bacterium. RNAcentral describes it as "partial 16S ribosomal RNA". It matches the Rfam family "Bacterial small subunit ribosomal RNA", at positions 338 to 795 of the family's 1533-position model. The record is from RNAcentral.